This is a long non-coding RNA of Sus scrofa (pig), 4091 nucleotides long. RefSeq annotates it as eukaryotic translation initiation factor 3 subunit B. Lineage: Eukaryota; Metazoa; Chordata; Mammalia; Artiodactyla; Suidae. The record is from RefSeq and is a predicted model, not a curated record.
CCAUGUUGGACGGGACCAUCUGCUACUUUACAUGGGGUAGUUUCGUUCCCAAACAGUUUGUGGACUGAACAGAGCAGGGGCGGUGAUUGGAGCUGAGCACGCACUUAUCACGGGAGCGCUAUCGUAAUCCCUAGUGGACACAUUUAUACCCGGUGAGCUCCUCUAGACGCGCGGGGCGGCAUCGGGGCGUGGGCGCUCCCCCCAUCCCUGCGAGUGCCCCACCGCUCGCACAUGGCCCGGCGGUAGGCGCGCGGUGCGGCCUGGGAGAGUCGGAAGCGCGGCGAGCCCGGGCGAGGCGGCACCGGAGGGCCAUGCAGGACGCGGAGAACGUGGCGGCGCCCGAGGCGUCCGAGCAGCGGGCCGAGCCCGGACAGCAAGAGCCGACCGCAGAGGCGCCUCCGAGGGAGGAGCCAGCGCGACCAGCCGCACUGGAGGGUGCGGGCGGCGAGGACCCGGAGGCCGGGCCGGGGCCUGAUGUGCCGGCCGAGCCUUUGGCCGACGGGGAGCAAAAGACGGACGCGACCCCCGGCGCCUCCCCGCCGCCUUCCGAGGAGCCCCCAACCCUGGCCGCAGGCGAGACGGGGCAGGCGCGGGACGCGGCGGCCGAGGCCGGCUCCGAGGGGGCGGGUGGGGAGCCCGGCGGCGCGGCGGAGGACGGUGGCGCGGACGAGCCCUCCUUCAGCGACCCCGAGGACUUCGUGGACGACGUGAGCGAGGAAGAGUUACUGGGAGACGUACUCAAAGAUCGGCCGCAGGAAGCAGACGGGAUUGAUUCGGUCAUCGUGGUGGACAACGUCCCGCAGGUGGGACCUGACCGUCUGGAGAAACUCAAAAACGUCAUCCAUAAGAUCUUCUCCAAGUUUGGGAAAAUCACGAACGACUUUUAUCCGGAGGAGGACGGAAGGACCAAAGGGUACAUUUUCCUAGAAUAUGCGGCUCCUGCCCACGCUUUGGAUGCCGUGAAAAAUGCCGACGGGUACAAGCUCGACAAGCAGCAUACAUUCAGAGUCAACCUCUUCACAGAUUUUGACAAAUACAUGACCAUCAGCGACGAAUGGGACAUUCCGGAGAAGCAGCCUUUCAAAGACCUGGGGAACUUACGUUACUGGCUCGAGGAGGCGGAGUGCCGAGAUCAGUACAGCGUGAUUUUUGAGAGUGGAGACCGCACGUCCAUAUUCUGGAACGACGUCAAGGACCCCGUGUCCAUUGAAGAGAGAGCGCGGUGGACAGAGACCUACGUGCGUUGGUCCCCUAAGGGCACCUACCUGGCGACCUUUCAUCAGCGAGGCAUUGCUCUCUGGGGAGGAGAGAAAUUCAAACAGAUCCAGAGAUUCAGCCACCAAGGGGUCCAGCUCAUCGACUUCUCGCCGUGUGAAAGGUACCUGGUGACUUUCAGCCCCCUGAUGGACACUCAGGACGACCCUCAGGCCAUCAUCAUCUGGGACAUCCUCACCGGGCAGAAGAAGAGAGGGUUUCACUGCGAGAGCUCAGCCCACUGGCCGAUUUUUAAGUGGAGCCACGAUGGUAAAUUCUUCGCCAGAAUGACACUCGACACGCUCAGUAUCUACGAGACGCCCUCUAUGGGUCUUCUGGACAAGAAGAGCUUGAAGAUCUCUGGCAUAAAAGACUUUUCGUGGUCCCCCGGGGGUAACAUCAUCGCCUUCUGGGUGCCUGAAGACAAGGAUAUCCCGGCCCGGGUGACCCUGAUGCAGCUCCCUAGCAGGCAGGAGAUCCGCGUGCGCAACCUCUUCAACGUGGUGGACUGCAAGCUGCACUGGCAGAAGAACGGCGAUUACCUGUGCGUCAAGGUCGACCGGACGCCCAAAGGCACCCAGGGUGUUGUCACAAAUUUUGAAAUUUUCCGAAUGCGGGAAAAACAGGUGCCUGUGGAUGUGGUCGAAAUGAAAGAAACCAUCAUAGCCUUUGCCUGGGAGCCGAACGGGAGUAAGUUUGCUGUGCUGCACGGGGAGGCUCCUCGGAUAUCCGUGUCCUUCUACCACGUGAAGAACAACGGCAAGAUCGAGCUCAUCAAGAUGUUCGAUAAGCAGCAGGCCAACACCAUCUUCUGGAGCCCGCAGGGACAGUUCGUCGUGCUGGCUGGACUGAGGAGCAUGAACGGCGCCUUGGCGUUCGUCGACACUUCAGACUGUACGGUCAUGAAUAUCGCAGAGCACUACAUGGCCUCCGACGUGGAGUGGGACCCUACGGGGCGUUACGUCGUCACCUCUGUGUCCUGGUGGAGCCACAAGGUGGACAAUGCUUACUGGCUGUGGACCUUCCAAGGCCGCCUCCUGCAGAAGAACAGCAAGGACCGCUUUUGCCAGCUGCUGUGGCGGCCUCGGCCCCCCACGCUCCUGAGCCAGGAUCAGAUCAAGCAAAUUAAAAAGGAUCUGAAGAAAUACUCCAAGAUCUUUGAACAGAAGGACCGUCUGAGCCAAUCCAAAGCCUCAAAGGAGUUAGUGGAGAGAAGAAGAACCAUGAUGGAAGAUUUCCGGAAAUAUCGGAAAAAGGCUCAAGAACUCUACAUGGAGCAGAAAAACGAGCGUCUAGAAUUGCGAGGAGGUGUGGACACGGACGAGCUGGACAGCAAUGUGGACGACUGGGAGGAGGAGACCAUAGAGUUUUUCGUCACAGAAGAAAUUAUUCCUCUUGGCAAUCAGGAGUGACCCGCGAGCACUGUGCGUCACCGCCCGCGUCUUGUGCUGGAACCACGGUCACCCGUCUGCGGACAGCCUGCACGUUCCCGGAUCCUCACCUGUGCUUCUCUCGCUCUGGACCGCGGCCGCGCCCGGACCGCGCCCCCGCCGCCCACGGCCGUGCCUUUCAGCCCCUGGUGUCCCGUUGGGUGUGUGAGGCGCUGCUCUCGGUUUUCUCUCGUUCGGGUUUUCACCGCACCGCAGACUGUGUCCUCUUCCCGCGGGCAGCGCCGUCCACACUGUGCGGGUUCCCUCCAGGACGCCCUGGUGCGCGGCCGCUGCGGGGUGUCCCAGACGCCAGCAGGGACUCAGUGCAGCACUGCGGCCCCGCACACUUGGGGUGCCGGCGUGUCCCCCACCAUUCAGGUUGUGACAGGUUCUUUCAGCAGGGUGAACGUGGAAAUAAAAGCAAACCUGUAUGAAAAAGCUGUCUUCUCCUCUUUGAAUGUAGAUCGCGGCCUUGAACUCGGGGCUUCUCCCCUCUGCCCCAGCAGCCGCUGCCGGGCACAUUAGGCCCGGUGCUGCCCGCACAGGUGGCGAGGAGGGGACGUUGGCCCCCCUCAGGGCCCCCCGGUUUCCGCGGAGCUCUGGAAGGUAGUUCGUCUGUUUCCUGCACUUGGCAGUUCACCUGAUGAGAAAGAACCUUUUAGCCUUAGAUACCUUGGUUUGAAGACUUACGCUGACAGUUGUCGCUCUAGCCACCCAUCUGUGCUCCUGCCUGAGUGCCUCACUGCCCCGAGUGGGCAUGGGCAGGCCUGCGAGGCUGCAGCCCGGCCCCCACGCUGUCCUGCUGCCCUCGGCGCCUGGGCAAUAAACAGCAGCUGCUCCACCUCGCUCUCCGGGAACCUGAAGCCUGGCUGGAAGCAGUGACGCGUCGAACGGGCGCACCUGGAAGUCACGGGUGUGACUGUGACCUGCACCACGCACGGACCUCGGGCGACGUUCCCGGCUGGAGGCCACGCUGCCACGUGGGGGGCAGAAGACGGCCACCCCCGCCCUGCAGCCCUGCUGGGCGGAAUGGAGCCCUCAGCCCAGAGGAUCCCCGGGGACCGCAGCCUGUCCUCGCCACGGCCGGCCGGGCCUCCCUCGUGGGCCAGGCGCUGCUUGCUCCCAGUUUCUCAGGAGCCUGGAAUGUUCACUGUGCCUCACAGCCCUGCCGUGUGGCGCCCGCACACCCCGUCCGAAUCACAGAAACUCUGUUCCUUCUCGUGUCCUUUAAACUUGAGUGUGCCAGGACCUAGAUUUUCUAAUUCCAGGGCAGCAAGAAGGAAAAGGCACACGGUUCUGUCACAUCAACAGGUUUUUAAAAGAGCUUUCAAAACAGCAACUUUCACUGUCUUGAGCUGGCUGGUUGUAACUUCACAGAGGGCGUAAAAUAAAGGGAUUUCUGAAGCA